RNAcentral lists this ribosomal RNA (469 nucleotides) under uncultured bacterium. RNAcentral describes it as "partial 16S ribosomal RNA". It matches the Rfam family "Bacterial small subunit ribosomal RNA", at positions 355 to 840 of the family's 1533-position model. The record is from RNAcentral.
UGGGGAAUAUUGGACAAUGGGGGGCAACCCUGAUCCAGCAAUGCCGCGUGUGUGAAGAAGGUCUUCGGAUUGUAAAGCACUUUCGACGGGGACGAUGAUGACGGUACCCGUAGAAGAAGCCCCGGCUAACUUCGUGCCAGCAGCCGCGGUAAUACGAAGGGGGCUAGCGUUGCUCGGAAUGACUGGGCGUAAAGGGCGUGUAGGCGGUUUACACAGUCAGAUGUGAAAUCCCCGGGCUUAACCUGGGAGCUGCAUUUGAUACGUGUAGACUAGAGUGUGAGAGAGGGUUGUGGAAUUCCCAGUGUAGAGGUGAAAUUCGUAGAUAUUGGGAAGAACACCGGUGGCGAAGGCGGCAACCUGGCUCAUGACUGACGCUGAGGCGCGAAAGCGUGGGGAGCAAACAGGAUUAGAUACCCUGGUAGUCCACGCUGUAAACGAUGUGUGCUAGAUGUUGGGUAACUUUGUUAUU